This 801-nucleotide long non-coding RNA is filed under the name Homo sapiens (human). Its description in RNAcentral is "HSALNT0340168". Lineage: Eukaryota; Metazoa; Chordata; Mammalia; Primates; Hominidae. The record is from RNAcentral.
AUCCAGCAGAGACCUCAUUAAGGGCAUCUGUUCAGUAAUUACUACAAGUUUCCCUUCAUCACGCAUCCAAAUUUGAAAACAGCCAUACCGCAGAACUCCAAUGCCUGAUUCACAGAGGGCUUUAAUCUUCCAUUUCUGUAGCGCUCAGACUGACUGCGACCAGAGGACCAGGGUCAAGUUUUGGUGCAGUCAGUAAAUACUACCUUGAUCAACAGGGACCAGGGCGGGAAGAAGCAUCCCGAGGACAUUUAUUAACACCAACAAAGACUAGAGCCUCAAGGUGUUUAACUAAGCCAGCCCUGUUGCUGCAGCGUUUGAGAACCACUGACGUGGCUGAUUCCUCUUCUUUAAAACUCCAUUCGAAAACUUUCAUACAUCACUGGUGGAAUCAUAAAAUGGCGCAGACACUUUGGAAAAGUUUGGCAGUUCCCUAAAUGUUAUACAAUAAUUUACCAUACAACCCAACAAUCCCACUCCUAGGAACCUACCCAAGAGACUUAAAACAUAUGUCCACACAAAGACAUGUAUGUAAAUAUUUAUAGCAGCAUUAUUCAUAAUAACCAAAAACUGGAAACAACCUGUGUCCAACAAUUAGUUAAUGGAUAAACAAAUGUAUAUGUUCACAUAAUGGAAUAUUAUUCAAAAUAAAAUAGAAUGAAGUACUUAUACAUGGUGAUGAUUGCAUAACUGUAAACUCACUAAAACUUGUUGAAUUGUACUCUUAAAAUGGGUAAAUUUUAUGAUAUGUAGAUUACACCUCAAUAAAGCUGAAGAAAGGGAAAAGAAAGGGAGAAAAGGAAC